CCUACGGGGGGCUGCAGUGGGGAAUAUUGGACAAUGGGGGCAACCCUGAUCCAGCCAUGCCGCGUGUGUGAAGAAGGCCCUGGGGUUGUAAAGCACUUUCAGUGAGGAAGAACGCCUGGUGGUUAAUACCCAUCAGGAAAGACAUCACUCACAGAAGAAGCACCGGCUAACUCCGUGCCAGCAGCCGCGGUAAUACGGAGGGUGCGAGCGUUAAUCGGAAUUACUGGGCGUAAAGCGCGCGUAGGUGGCUUGAUAAGCCGGUUGUGAAAGCCCCGGGCUCAACCUGGGAACGGCAUCCGGAACUGUCAAGCUAGAGUGCAGGAGAGGAAGGUAGAAUUCCCGGUGUAGCGGUGAAAUGCGUAGAGAUCGGGAGGAAUACCAGUGGCGAAGGCGGCCUUCUGGACUGACACUGACACUGAGGUGCGAAAGCGUGGGUAGCAAACAGGAUUAGAUACCCGUGUAGUC
RNAcentral lists this ribosomal RNA (465 nucleotides) under Vreelandella stevensii. RNAcentral describes it as "partial 16S ribosomal RNA". It matches the Rfam family "Bacterial small subunit ribosomal RNA", at positions 338 to 795 of the family's 1533-position model. Lineage: Bacteria; Pseudomonadati; Pseudomonadota; Gammaproteobacteria; Oceanospirillales; Halomonadaceae. The record is from RNAcentral.